This 468-nucleotide long non-coding RNA is filed under the name Heterocephalus glaber (naked mole-rat). Its description in RNAcentral is "lncRNA (ENSHGLG00000034081.1)". Lineage: Eukaryota; Metazoa; Chordata; Mammalia; Rodentia; Bathyergidae. The record is from RNAcentral.
GUCUGGGCCCUUGAGUUCUCUCCCUCCCCCUGCGUCACCUCCCUGGGGCGGGGCUGUGUCCCCCCUAUAAAGCCCAGGAAGCCGCAGUACCCAGGCCAGCCAGCCUUCACCUCCAGCUCUGCACACCCAGCCUUACAGGUCCCAGCAGGAUGUCGGACACCGAGGAGCAGGACUAUGAGGAGUGAGCUGUGUUCCACAGGGACCGGGGUGGGUAGUGGAGCCCCCGGAGGCCCUAGAUGUCUAACUGUCCCCUUUCUCUCCCGGGUCCCCAGGGAGCAGGCUGAAGGUGAGUGGAUGGGGCAGCCUGGGCAGGAGGUCGCCCUGGCAUCUGACACCGGGCUUGGGCGGAGAGGACACUGGGUCUGGAGUCGGCCCCUGGUCCCGCCCCCGGGGACCCCCAUCUACACCCGGGCCUCCCCACCUCGCCUGGCCCCGCCCUUGGACUCCGCCCCUCCCCCUUCCCCAUCU